Molecule: RNA transcript, 3237 nt
Organism: Musa acuminata AAA Group (dessert banana)
Lineage: Eukaryota; Viridiplantae; Streptophyta; Magnoliopsida; Zingiberales; Musaceae
Gene name: probable inactive receptor kinase At5g58300
Exons: 7
Source: RefSeq, a predicted model, not a curated record
GUGUCUGGUCCGGUGCAUGAAGGAUAUAAUGUUGUGCUAACAGAAUCUACGUAUCUUCAUCAUGUGAUUUGAUGUUGGUGAGGGAAUCUUGCCUUACCUCCUCUCAGGCGUGAAAGCAAACGCGUUGUUUAGUAUUUACAAGGAAGGAAUCUUUUGCGGAAGGCCCCACUUGAUACAAGCUGGUUUGACGUGAUCAAGACCUCACCAAUUCCGAAUAUUCAGACGAGAGAACAUGCAAGAACAAGUGGUUAAAACAUUUUCUGCUGUGCCAGCAUCUGCGAAACAGUGAAAACUCUUGAUCGAGCAAGGCGCGGGCGCCGCAUCACGAUCCAAUCGGAAGGGGGGUGGCGGGAAGGGUAGUGUCGAACCGGUAAGAGACUGUGCUGCUGCUGCGCAUAGUGUCCUUUCGCGUAAAUCUCGACAUCUGCGUGACUUUGACACCUGCAGGUCCUUUGGACCUUCCACGCUUUUUCUGAGGGAGUACAUUUAAAAAUAUUAUCUUUGAUGUGAGCUUUUACGCAUAUAUUCGUCGCCUUUAUAUUGCUAAUGAUAGGGACUUUGAGAAACAAAAAUGUCAAUGUUAGGUACGUAAAUGCAAGAAUCCAACGGUCGAUAAAUAUAGUUAAAGUUAAAGGGUUUUCUCAGAAAUAUCUCCCGAACGCAUUUCCUAUAUUCUCCGCCACUUCCCCCUCUCGCUCUCUCUCUCUCUCUCUCUCUCUCUUUCUCUCUCUCUCUCGGAAUCAGCAUCGGCGCAAGCUGCGACGGGGCUUUGACGGUUCGGCGGUCCGAUUCCGACAUCUCGUGGCGACGGCAUUCGAGGUGGGGAGCUUCGUUUCCUCUGCGGGCUCCGGUGGAGCCUCAAGUUUUGGACACCUGGAGACGAAUUCGUCGGAGAAUGCCUUUUUGUUCCCCGUAGGAUCUCGGUUUCUUGCAUCUCUCGGAAGCUGCUGUCAAUUUCUAGUGCAGAGAAAGUUCGAAUCUCUACGGUCUAUGGCAGGGAUUUCUUGAAGUUUAGCUUUCCGCAGCUGCAUUGAUGGAUCCUUGGACCAAUAUCGAUGGAUAUGAGGAGCCAAGGUUGUCCUCUUUGAAUCAGAUGGACAUUAUAGCCUCUUAAAGCACAAUCUGGAAAUUGUUCAUUGCAUUCUUUUACUAUUACCAAUGGGUCACUCUAUGCUUUUCAUAGCACUUCCUUUUAUUUACCUCAUGUUAUACCUUCCACCACUUACCACUGCUGACUUAAGUUCUGAUGAGGAAGCACUCCUGGCCUUUGCUGCCUCAGUCCCUCAUGGCCGGAAACUGAACUGGAGUUCCCAGAACCCCAUAUGUUCAUCUUGGGUUGGAGUCACUUGCACACCUGAUAAGACCCGUGUCCAUACUCUCCGGCUGCCAGCGGUUGGCCUUUUUGGCUCGAUUCCUUCUGAUACACUUGGGAAACUUGAUGCCCUUGAAGUCUUAAGUCUUCGGUCCAACCGCCUUAUUCUAAAUCUUGCUCCAGAUGUCCCAUCAAUUCCUUCUUUGCAUUCUUUGUACCUUCAACAUAAUAAUUUAUCUGGAAUUGUACCUGAUUUGCUCUCUUCCAACCUAACAUUUCUUGAUCUCUCCUAUAAUUUGUUCGUCGGUGAAAUUCCAUUGACAGUCCAAAACCUUACUCUUCUUACCGCAUUGUUUCUCCAGAACAAUUCUCUUUCUGGACCCAUCCCUAACCUUCAACUGCGCAAGCUUAGACGUCUGAAUCUGAGUUAUAACAACCUCAGUGGCCCCAUACCAAUUUCACUUCAAAAGUUCCCAGUGGAGUCUUUCUUGGGUAACCCUUUCCUCUGUGGGACUCCUUUAGCCCAAUGCUUUGGAGUUCCUCCCUCCUCUCCACCCUUCCCAGCAGAAGCCCCUACAAAACCCAAAAGAAGCUUUUGGAAAAAAAUAAGUACGGGAGUCAUCAUUGCAAUUGCUGCUGGUGGAUCAGCUCUUCUGCUUCUACUCAUUGUUUUAAUUUUGGUAUGCUUUUCCAAGAGGAAACGUAGGCAAGGCAGUGGUGAAUCAAAAGGCAAGGGUUCUCUUGGUGGAAGAAGCGAGAAACCUAAGGAGGAGUACAGCAGUAGUGUUCAAGAGGCCGAGAAGAAUAAAUUGGUUUUCUUUGAGGGAUGUUCUUAUAAUUUUGAUUUGGAAGAUUUGUUAAGAGCUUCUGCUGAAGUUCUUGGGAAGGGAAGUCAUGGGACCACAUAUAAAGCUGUUCUAGAAGAUGGUACAACAGUUGUAGUGAAGAGGUUGAAGGAAGUAAUCAUCGGAAAGAGAGAGUUUGAACAGCAGAUGGAAAUGAUAGGAAGUGUCAGGCCACACCCCAAUGUAUUGCCACUUAGAGCUUAUUACUACUCCAAGGAUGAGAAGCUUCUAAUAUAUGAUUAUUUCCCUUCUGGCAAUUUAUCCUCCCUCUUGCAUGGGAAUAAGGGGGGAGCUGGAAAAACUCCCUUGGACUGGGAGUCGAGGAUAAAGGUUUCUCUUGGAGCAGCACGUGGCAUCGGUUGCAUUCACAUUGAUGGCAGUGGAAAGUUCAUUCAUGGAGAUAUUAAAUCCAAUAACAUACUCCUGACUCAGGAACUUGAUGCUUGUGUCUGUGAUUAUGGCCUUGCACCACUCAUGAACUCUGCAGCAACCCCAUCCAGAAUUGUAGUGGGCUACCGUGCACCCGAAGUCAUCGAGACUAGAAAAUAUACCCAGAAAUCUGAUGUCUACAGCUUUGGUGUCUUGCUACUUGAGAUGCUCACGGGAAAAGCUCCACUUCAGUCUCCAGGACGUGAUGAUGUUGCUGAUCUACCAAGAUGGGUCCAAUCUGUGGUUCGAGAAGAGUGGACUGCUGAAGUUUUUGAUGUAGAGUUGAUGAGGUAUCCGCACGUCGAGGAAGAAAUGGUUCAGAUGCUUCAGAUUGCGAUGGCAUGUGUUUCAAAAGCUCCAGAUCAACGACCGAAAAUGGAGGAGGUGAUCAGAAUGAUCGAGGACAUUCAGCACUCCGACUCGGAGAACAGACCAUCCUCCGAGAAGCCAAGAUGAUAGUGUGUCCAAACGCCACAAGCAGGCACAUGAAGCACAAUGCAGCCCAUUUAUACGUUAGGAACCUCUCCUUAUGCAGUUGAUCCUCUUAUCUCACCAAUACAAGGCAUUUGCAUGAACCAGCUAUAGUUGGUCAACGCCUGGUCAAAGUCUGAGUUAGUAUUUGAGGUUAGUCGAAAACUUAGUAUUUAAGUA